GGGGAAUAUUGCACAAUGGGCGAAAGCCUGAUGCAGCAACGCCGCGUGAGUGAUGAAGGUCUUCGGAUUGUAAAGCUCUGUCUUUUGGGACGAUAAUGACGGUACCAAAGGAGGAAGCCACGGCUAACUACGUGCCAGCAGCCGCGGUAAUACGUAGGUGGCGAGCGUUGUCCGGAUUUACUGGGCGUAAAGGGUGCGUAGGCGGAUGUUUAAGUGAGAUGUGAAAUACCCGGGCUUAACUUGGGUGCUGCAUUUCAAACUGGAUAUCUAGAGUGCAGGAGAGGAGAAUGGAAUUCCUAGUGUAGCGGUGAAAUGCGUAGAGAUUAGGAAGAACACCAGUGGCGAAGGCGAUUCUCUGGACUGUAACUGACGCUGAGGCACGAAAGCGUGGGUAGCAAACAGGAUUAGAUACCCUGGUAGUCCACGCCG
This 429-nucleotide ribosomal RNA is filed under the name uncultured bacterium. RNAcentral describes it as "partial 16S ribosomal RNA". It matches the Rfam family "Bacterial small subunit ribosomal RNA", at positions 356 to 802 of the family's 1533-position model. The record is from RNAcentral.